UGACCUGCUGAUUGACUGCCGUAAUCAC
RNAcentral lists this small RNA (28 nucleotides) under Bombyx mori (domestic silkworm). RNAcentral's name for it is "ovarian small RNA-31642". The record is from RNAcentral. Lineage: Eukaryota; Metazoa; Arthropoda; Insecta; Lepidoptera; Bombycidae.